Molecule: non-coding RNA, 981 nt
Organism: Gasterosteus aculeatus aculeatus (three-spined stickleback)
Lineage: Eukaryota; Metazoa; Chordata; Actinopteri; Perciformes; Gasterosteidae
Source: RefSeq, a predicted model, not a curated record
AGAAGAAGAAGAAGGAGGAGCGGAAGUGACGUGCAGCCAGACUUAAGACGAAAGUUACUCUCGUGACUCCCGGAUGUCUGCUCAGGUGUUUGUGUUGUACUUCGCUAAGAGCGUGGAACUCACCGGAGUGAAGGAGGAGGGGAGCGUUGCCGUGCCAACGCCAAUCAGCAGCCGGGACCUCUGGAGGCUGUUGCUACAGCGACACCCGAGAUUGUCCCUCCUGCAGGAUCAGGUGGUGUUGGCAGUGCGUCAGCAGUACGUUGCCAUUGGCGACCAGGUGGUAACCCUUGGAGACGGGGACGAGGUUGCCGUGGUGCCGCCGCUCAGUGGAGGAUAAACACAAGCUAUGAGCAAGUCGGAGGAGAGGCGGGACAUCUUCAAGCUGAGCCGUGAUUGGCUGUCGGUACAGGAAGUGGUCGACGCCGUCAGCAGCACUUCCUGCGGAGCCGUUUCAAUAUUUAUAGGUGCGACCCGCGAGGACGAGGUCGGCGGCAGGAGGGUGAUUGGUCUAGAGUACGAGGCGUACGAACUCAUGGCCCAAUCAGAGUUCAGUAAGCUGUGUGAUGACAUCAGAGCGCGCUGGCCAACCGUGACUCACGUGUGCGUCCACCACCGGCUGGGGUGGGUGAAGGUGGGCGAGGCCAGUGUUGUCAUGGCGAUCUCGUCUCCUCAUCGCCAUGACGGCCAGCAGGCGAUCUGGCACUGCAUCGAGCAGCUGAAGGCCAACCUCCCCAUCUGGAAGAAGGAAGUGUACGACACACAGGAGGCCAGCUGGAAGGAGAACGCAGAGUGUCCAUGGUCCUUUCAAAAAAAAGUUCCUCCAGCUGCGUCGCCUGGAGAAAACGUCUGAGCGGCGGAGAACAGAAGUUAUUGAUUAAGAGCGUUGUUGGUGUUUUUUGCAGCAGAUUGAGACUUCUAUGUCUGUCGUCACUGUGAUGGAAGAUUUCGCACAGACAAUUAGAAUAAAGGCUCUGAAUCAAA